CAGUGCGCCCAGGGCGAUGGCCUGGAGUUUGACGACCUGAAGAGGGAGAUACAAGAAUGGAACCGGCGGUACAUUGAUGUCGACAGUUUGCUGACACGUCUGAAAAACGGCCACAGAGAUGUUUUGGGAGAAUUUUUCUCUGGACCUGAGGGACCAAUCCAAGUGUCGUCUCCUCGUCAGACUCGGCGAAAUUUGACGAGACCGCCUGCUAGCUUUCC
This is a long non-coding RNA of Pomacea canaliculata, 218 nucleotides long. RefSeq lists it as uncharacterized. NCBI's taxonomy places the organism in Eukaryota, Metazoa, Mollusca, Gastropoda, Architaenioglossa, Ampullariidae. The record is from RefSeq and is a predicted model, not a curated record. The transcript has 3 exons.